CCUACGGGAGGCAGCAGUGGGGGAUAUUGCACAAUGGGGGGAACCCUGAUGCAGCGACGCCGCGUGGGUGAAGAAGCGCCUCGGCGCGUAAAGCCCUGUCAGCAGGGAAGAAAAUGACGGUACCUGACGAAGAAGCCCCGGCUAACUACGUGCCAGCAGCCGCGGUAAUACGUAGGGGGCAAGCGUUAUCCGGAUUUACUGGGUGUAAAGGGGGCGCAGACGGCGAUGCAAGCCAGGAGUGAAAGCCCGGGGCCCAACCCCGGGACUGCUCUUGGAACUGCGUGGCUGGAGUGCAGGAGGGGUAGGCGGAAUUACUGGUGUAGCGGUGAAAUGCGUAGAUAUCAGGAGGAACACCGGUGGCGAAGGCGGCCUGCUGGACUGCAACUGACGUUGAGGCCCGAAAGCGUGGGGAGCAAACAGGAUUAGAUACCCUAGUAGUC
Molecule: ribosomal RNA, 440 nt
Filed under: uncultured bacterium
Lineage: Bacteria
Description: partial 16S ribosomal RNA
Rfam family: Bacterial small subunit ribosomal RNA
Source: RNAcentral